Molecule: long non-coding RNA, 4349 nt
Organism: Globicephala melas (long-finned pilot whale)
Lineage: Eukaryota; Metazoa; Chordata; Mammalia; Artiodactyla; Delphinidae
Source: RefSeq, a predicted model, not a curated record
GGGCUGCCGCGGCAGCCGGCGGGGUAGCGAGGUGGAGCAGUGUGGGAAGCCCCAAGCCUGUACCUCUGGGACUGAACGGCGGCGGGUGGGCUGCGGUCAGCCUCUGCAGGCCUGGGCAGGCCUCCUGAGAGUCUAGGGCGUAAGAGUUUUGGGGGGUUCGGAAAGCGGGCUGCGGACCCCCUGCCUGAGGCUUUGGUUUGAGCCCUGGAUCCGGCCUUGUGUUUCCCCGGAAGGAUGGCGUCUCAGUCUUUCCUGAAGUUGGUGGGGUUUGGAUGUUAUUAUUAUUAUUAUCAGCAGUAGUACUGUUAUUGUUGUUAUUAUUAUCGUUUUGAGGAUACACCGUGUAUAAGUAUUGGUGGUCCUGCGCAGGACGCCAUGCAGAAUGCCAUGAGUUAGAAGCUGGAGGACGGAGGGCUUAGAGAUGCUUGAGGGACGUCCUUAACCUAUGUGAAAUGUUGGAGGUUGAUGAGAUAAAGCUUCGAGCCUCUGAACGGGCACUUUACUAGUUUCCCUCUCUUUGUGGAAUUCAGUUGCUGAAUGGAGAACACAGACCAUAGCUGUUGAGGUGAAAAAUAUGGCUUUGAUGUCUUCAUGGAAAACUGCAUUAUUUCAAUCCUGAAUCUGGUUCGGUUCCCUUAUUGACUUAUUACUAUAUUAAAAAUGUUUAUUUAGCAGUGAUUGUAAAAUGAAAGUAAUUAACAUGUACAUGUUUUUUGGGGGGGAGACUAAGGGGAAACAGGUGUUCAACCUAGAAAAACAUUUCUCAUUGGAUUUCCUGUGAAGUCAGUGUGUCUUGGGUUUAACUUUGAAACAAAUUAAAAAAUUUUUAAAUUAAAAAAAAAGUUUACUUAACUAUGCUAUUUGUUCUGGUAAAACCUUGUGGUUUAAUAAGAAUUUUUGCAAAUAUCCAUUAUAUUCUUCUCUUGGUACAUAAAAGUGUUAAUAUUUUAAAAUCUAUAGGACAUUCUAUUUCAAAAUUUAGUUCUAUUAUCUUAGUGCUGUCAGAAAAUGUGCUUUGAAUUGCUAAAAUGAGUUGUAUUGGACAACACCUGUCUCAGCAGAGGCACUUAAAAAUCAUUUUCAUCCUUCCUCUUGUAGUAAUGAUUUUUUUUUUAACCCAUAUGUUUUUAACCUGUAUGUUUAACCCUGCCAAUCCAGUGGCAACUUAAGUGUUUGUGCAGUAUUUCACGUGAGAAAUAAGGUAUUUCACUCAAGAUUGAAGUCUUGCUGUUGGAGAAGAGGAUUUCUCUCCAAUAUUGGAUUAGCAAAAAAAGCAAAAUGUUAAUACAGAAUGCCUCAAAAAAUCAAAGGUAGGGGCUUCCCUGGUGGCGCAGUGGUUGAGAGUCUGCCUGCCGAUGCAGGGGACACGGGUUUGUGCCCCGGUCCGGGAAGAUCCCACAUGCCACAGAGCGACUGGGCCCGUGAGCCAUGGCCGCUGAGCCUGUGCUCUGCAACGGGAGAGGCCACAACAGUGAGAGGCCCGCGUACCGCAAAAAAAAAAAAAAAGUCAAAGGUGGCCUGAAUGAAAAAUUUAAAUACCUCGACUAAUCUUUCAGUUUCCACAUAAUCAUGACAUGGAACAGCUCUUUGCCAAAAAACAUUUAUUCUUAAAAUUUACUUAAGCGUUUCGUAGAAACUUUAGUAAUAGCCAGAAUAAUUCAUGUCAGCUUAGCAAACUCUUAACAGCAAGCAGAAAGAGCUUAUGAAAGGAUCCUGUCUUUACACAGUCAUAGUUAGGGCAGUAUUUUACUUCAUCUCUUCACUAAUAGCUUUGCUUUCACACUGAAGUCUUCAGACUAUUCUGUAUAUACAUUCAACCCCUAUUUUCCUGUAACCAGUUUCCCAAGGAAGGUAUGUGUGGUUCACAAAGGGAUCUUUAAAAGGUGAUAAACUAUAGCAAAUGUUACUUAACAAAUGAGUCUCAGCAUAUGGAAGGAGAAAGUGUUUCUAAGUAUUUCUAUAAAAAGCAUGUCCGUGGUAGGGGUAGUGGGGUGGUGGUGGGAUGAACUGGGAGACUGGGAUUGACAUGUAUACACUGAUGUGUAUAAAAGCGAUAAUUAAUAAGAACCUGCUGUAUUAAAAAAAUAAAUAAAAUAAAAUAAAAUAAAGCAGGUCCAUAUUUCAUACUGUUUGCAAACCGAUAAAACCUAUUCCUAAUAGGCAGAUAAAUGCUUUCCUUUCUCAAAAGGCCUGCUUCCCCUUCACUACCCACUCUACGAGGUCUAACUUGGGUUUUUCCUGAAAGCUUGUAUACCUCUUGUCCUUUAAGGAAGGGGACAGGAAAAGCUUCUGUGCCGAGUACCCUCUUUGAUCCCCUUCUCUAUGCUGACCCUCACAUCCCCUGCCAGUCCUGAUUCUCUCACUCUGACCAGCUCGGUCAACUCUAAGUAGAGGUGUCUACGGAGCAAGCUAAAAGGUUAAGAUCAACGAGUACAUCCUUUUAAAGAAAUCCAUGUGGCUGUUUAAAGUUCAUACCAUUAUUAAUUGAGGAUGAUCAAACAAUGCUAUUUACCGUGCGGAAAAGCAGCCCUCUGGCCUUAUAGCGCAGUCAUUUCGUUGUGAGACAAGGUGCUAAUCCCUUUCAGUUCUCAGGGGAGUACAGUUUAAUCAGAUGCUGUACUUGUGUUGGAUAACCUGUGAUGGGACAAGCUCGGUGACUCCUCACGUAAUUAAACACACAGCGAUAACAAAACACAUAGCCAGAGGUGGCGAGAACGGUGUCAUUCACGCGGUUUUUACGACAGAGUGGGCACACAGUCUUCAUUUGGGGCAACAGGGGAGAAUCAGAAUUGUAGUCUAGAUGUACCGGUGGUGGUGGAGUAGGCAGGGCAGUCAAUGACUUGAUGGUUUCUUCGUUUCCGGAUGAAUACCACCACUCAAGGAACUGCAGGAAGAAUACACCCAUCGAAAGGCCAGUAGAGAGGCAUGAGGCGGCACCUCCCACGGCUUGCUUCAGAGCUGACUUUAUCUUCUCGCCAACGCUGUUUGGAGAACAGAACAAGGAGGCAAAAGGAGAAACUGUUUAUUUAGGUACAAUCACAGAAAAACUAAUACGCGUGUAAUUCUUACACUUUUCAUUAGAAUCGUUGAUUCAGCUUGGGGAUUGAAUAGUUGCUGGACUGGCGUUUUCUCUUGUAAGUGUCUAAUUGAAACAAUUCCUCUUUCUGACCUACCGUAUUUUAGGAGUUCUAGGAGCUAAGCUUUGUUUUUAAUGACCAGGGCUUUGUUGCUUUGUGUUUUGAGAAAGAAAUUAAUGAGCCAUUGAUUAUAUAGACCUUUUAUGGGGGUGGAAGAUAGUAUAUCCAGAAAAAGAAAUAACUCACUUAAAAAACAACUCAGCAGUACUGAGGAAUAUAUUUGAACUUGUCAGAGAACACAGACACUAGGAGCGGGAUAGCACCAUGGUUAAGAGCAGUCUUUAGAAUUGUAUUGAUCUGGCUUGAAUCUCAGCUCUGCCGCCUAUUAGCUGUGUGGCCUUGGCAAGGUACUCAAAUGUUAGAACUUAGUUUCCUCAACUGUUAAAUGGUGCUAAUGCAUUUAUUUCAUUGAGCUGUGAUGAGGAUUGAGAUAAUAUAUGUAAACACCUAGCACAGGGCCUGGUACAUAGCAAGUGUGUGCAAAAAUGUAGCCAGUAUGAUGAGGAAUUUUACCAGGAUGGCAAUCCUUGUUUUAUGGACACAAGAAUUUUUCGAUGAUUUUAUGAAAUACCCCAAAGUGGACUGAAGGGGGUAAAUUUCAUAAAAUUGGGAUAAGAUUUUAGGAUUUAUUAAUCAAAUAUGUUGGGGAAAUGUUAAGCCUUACCUCCCAGCUGGUUGCUGCAUCAUGCUGGCUUCGGCUGAUUUGUGCUCCAGAGCUUGUAUAUCCUGAACUGUAAGUCGACCUAGCCGAACCCCAGCCAGACUCAGCAGGGGUGAGUGAUGCUGAGCCUUUCCUAGGAUGUAUCGAAGCUGCUGUACAAGAAACCAGCCUUCCCAGGCCAUGUUAACAAAUGGGUAGGCUGCCAAAAAGGCUCUGUAAAAUCGUUUCCAGCGGGAAGUAGGGGGAUGGAUGGAAUAUUCAUCCUCUUCUCUCAGGCUAGAAAUCAGCUUCUCCAGCUUCACUUUCAGAUAGGGAAGAAGAACCAGGAAGAUAACUGACUUCCAAAGCUGCUUCUUUGGGAGACCAGCACUGGCCAACCUCUGAAGCUUGUGUGUGUCUCCCAUUACGAUCCUCUUUAAGCCAUAAAAGUUUUCAGAAAACGAGGCGCUGGUUUUAGACAGAUAAUGUUGCUGGAGCAGAAGAUCUAGCAGGGUGAAGAUUUCAUCAAACCACUUCCACAAGAAGCCGUAGCGGGCAGGAUUUGAUUCUGC